UAGCGAAACGUCCCGGCUCUGAUUCAGAGCCGGGCGUCGUCCGGCGGUGGUGCGCCGGGCCUGAUGAGCAGCCAACG
Molecule: non-coding RNA, 77 nt
Filed under: Halomonas sp. JS92-SW72
Lineage: Bacteria; Pseudomonadati; Pseudomonadota; Gammaproteobacteria; Oceanospirillales; Halomonadaceae
Source: RNAcentral